Molecule: ribosomal RNA, 404 nt
Filed under: Cycloramphus eleutherodactylus
Lineage: Eukaryota; Metazoa; Chordata; Amphibia; Anura; Cycloramphidae
Description: partial 12S ribosomal RNA
Source: RNAcentral
GCCUUGAAAUCAAUUUUUACAUAAUAUACACAUGCAAGUAUCCGCAGCCCCGUGAAAACGCCCUUUAAACCCCUAUAGGGAAAAGGAGCUGGUAUCAGGCACAAAUUAUGCCCAAGACACCUAGCUACGCCACACCUCCAAAGGAAUUCAGCAGUGAUUAACAUUGAAUAUAAGCGACAGCUUGAUUCAGUUAUAGUAUACAGAGCCGGCAAAUCUGGUGCCAGCCGCCGCGGUUACACCACGUGGCUCAAAUUGACUCUCAUCGGCGUAAAGCGUGAUUAAAGCCUCCCUAAUACUAGAGUUGAACUAAAACUAAGCCGUGACACGCUUAUUACCUAAGAAACUCAAAAACGAAAGUUACUCUAUCUAUACCAACUUGAACUCACGACAGCCGGAAUACAAAC